Molecule: ribosomal RNA, 253 nt
Filed under: uncultured bacterium
Lineage: Bacteria
Description: partial 16S ribosomal RNA
Rfam family: Bacterial small subunit ribosomal RNA
Source: RNAcentral
UACAUGGGGUGCAAACGUUGCUCGGAAUUAUUGGGCGUAAAGCGCGCGUAGGCGGUCUUUUAAGUCGGAUGUGAAAGCCCUCGGCUCAACCGGGGAAGUGCACCCGAAACUGAAAGGCUUGAGUACCAAAGAGGGUCGCGGAAUUCCCGGUGUAGAGGUGAAAUUCGUAGAUAUCGGGAGGAACACCGGUGGCGAAGGCGGCGACCUGGGUGGAUACUGACGCUGAGGCGCGAAAGCGUGGGGAGCAAACAGG